Notothenia coriiceps (black rockcod) is the source of this 180-nucleotide long non-coding RNA. RefSeq lists it as uncharacterized. The transcript has 3 exons. The record is from RefSeq and is a predicted model, not a curated record. Lineage: Eukaryota; Metazoa; Chordata; Actinopteri; Perciformes; Nototheniidae.
GGAUGAUUCACAGGUUGGGACUUUGUAUGGAAAGAGAGGUGGCACAUGAGAAGGAGGAGCAGGUUGGCUCUGGAUUACUCACAGGUUGGGAAUUCAUACGGAGAAAAAGAGGAAGCAUACGAGAGGGAGGAGUGUUGCCAUUGACCACGAAAUUGAAGAAGAGACAGCUACAGUUACAGG